Monodelphis domestica (gray short-tailed opossum) is the source of this 554-nucleotide long non-coding RNA. RefSeq lists it as uncharacterized. The record is from RefSeq and is a predicted model, not a curated record. NCBI's taxonomy places the organism in Eukaryota, Metazoa, Chordata, Mammalia, Didelphimorphia, Didelphidae.
UAUAAUUUAGAUAGCAAACCCUCUGUUCACAUAGAUGCCUUUUAACACUAAAAGGUAUGGGACAUCAGGAUAAAGAGCACCAAGAAGGAAUUAGAUUUAUGUCCCAGAAAACAGGAUAUUUUUUAAAUGGUCUAUUGCUCAUCCAAAUGAGAAAAAUCACAACUUACUAGUACUAGAAUCAAGUCCACAUCAGCCCCUGGAACAUAGCAACCAUCUGCUUGUAGCCAUCACACAAGCAAAUCAAUGAGCUCUCUCAUGUUUUUAAUCAACCCAGUCAUUGGUUCUAGAUCUGAAUGCAAAGGUUGCCCACAUUGGAAUUGUCCAGAUGGUGUCAUCAAAGAUAUGCCAAGAGAUCAAGAGGAAAGACCUACUCAUGUUGGAGUAGUGGAAAAAUUCCCAGAGAACAUGGACAAGAGUUUCAAAGGAUGAAAGAGAAUGACUGAGAUUGAAUUUGCAUUACUGGAGAGAAUCAUCAAUCAAAACAUUCAAGUAACUGAUUACAUGUUUGUUGUCUAAGGACCAAAUUAAUUAAAUUAUCCUCCAUGCUUGGAGUC